Molecule: ribosomal RNA, 517 nt
Filed under: uncultured bacterium
Lineage: Bacteria
Description: bacterial SSU rRNA
Rfam family: Bacterial small subunit ribosomal RNA
Source: RNAcentral
AGAGUUGAUCCUGGCUUAGGAUGAACGCUAGCGGCAGGCUUAACACAUGCAAGUCGAGGGGCAGCGCGAGGUAGCAAUACUUGGCGGCGACCGGCGCAAGGGUGCGUAACGCGUGAGCAACUUGCCCGUAACAGGAGGAUAACCGGAGGAAACUCCGACUAAUACUGCGUAGUAAUAAUUGGUGGCAUCACCGAGUGUUUAAAGGCGAAAGCCGGUUACGGAUAGGCUCGCGUGACAUUAGCUUGAUGGCGGGGUAACGGCCCGCCAUGGCGACGAUGUCUAGGGGUUCUGAGAGGAAGGUCCCCCACACUGGUACUGAGACACGGACCAGACUCCUACGGGAGGCAGCAGUGAGGAAUAUUGGACAAUGGUCGGAAGACUGAUCCAGCCAUGCCCGCGUGAAGGUUAAGGUCCUAUGGAUUGUAAACUUCUUUUGUACGAGAGGAAUUAGACGGACGUGUCCGUCGACGACAGUAUCGUACGAAUAAGCAUCGGCUAACUCCGUGCCAGCAGCCGC